RNAcentral lists this ribosomal RNA (119 nucleotides) under Pteropus alecto (black flying fox). The record is from RNAcentral. Lineage: Eukaryota; Metazoa; Chordata; Mammalia; Chiroptera; Pteropodidae.
GUCUAUGGCCAUGUUACCCUGAGCAAGCCUGAUCUUGUCUGAUAUCAGAAACUAAAUAGGGUCGAGCCUGGCUAGUACUUGGAUGGGAGACCACCUAGGAAGACCAGGUGCUGUAGGCG